RNAcentral lists this ribosomal RNA (237 nucleotides) under uncultured bacterium. RNAcentral describes it as "partial 16S ribosomal RNA". It matches the Rfam family "Bacterial small subunit ribosomal RNA", at positions 15 to 244 of the family's 1533-position model. The record is from RNAcentral.
GAGCCUGGCUCAGGAUGAACGCUAGCUACAGGCUUAACACAUGCAAGUCGAGGGGCAGCAUGUUGGUUGCUUGCAACCAAUGAUGGCGACCGGCGCACGGGUGAGUAACGCGUAUCCAACCUACCCUUGUCCAUCGGAUAACCCGUCGAAAGGCGGCCUAACACGAUAUGCGGUUCACAGCGGGCAUCUAACGUGAACGAAAUGUAAAAGGAGAAGGAUGGGGAUGCGUCUGAUUAG